RNAcentral lists this ribosomal RNA (276 nucleotides) under uncultured prokaryote. Its description in RNAcentral is "partial 16S ribosomal RNA". It matches the Rfam family "Bacterial small subunit ribosomal RNA", at positions 524 to 798 of the family's 1533-position model. The record is from RNAcentral.
AACGUAGGAGGCGAGCGUUAUCCGGAUUUACUGGGUGUAAAGCGCGUGUAGGCGGUCCUGCAAGUGGCGCGUGAAAGCGCCCGGCUCAACCGGGCGAGGACGUGACCGAACUGCGGGGCUAGAGGCAGGUAGAGGCGUGUGGAAUUCCGGGUGUAGUGGUGAAAUGCGUAGAGAUCCGGAGGAACACCAGUGGCGAAGGCGACACGCUGGGCCUGACCUGACGCUGAGAGGCGAAAGCAUGGGGAGCGAACGGGAUUAGAUACCCGCGUAGUCCCU